CCUACGGGUGGCAGCAGUGGGGGAUAUUGCACAAUGGGGGAAACUCUGAUGCAGCGACGCCGCGUGAGGGAAGACGGAUUUCGGAUUGUAAAGCUCUAUCAUCGGGGAAGAAAAUGACGGUACCUAACUAGGAAGCCCCGUCUAACUACGUGCCAGCAGCCGCGGUAAUACGUAGGGGGCAAGCGUUGUCCGGAUUUACUGGGUGUAAAGGGAGCGUAGGCGGGCGAGAAGUCUGAAGGUAAAAUCUCAGGGCCUACCCGCGAGCGGCAUUGGAAAAUUCUUGACUGGAGUAAAGUAGAGGCAGGCGGAAUUCCUAGUGUAGCGGUGAAAUGCGUAGAUAUUAGGAGGAACACCAGUGGCGAAGGCGGCUUACUGGACUUUAACUGACGUUGAGGCUCGAAAGCGUGGGGAGCAAACAGGAUUAGAUACCCGUGUAGUC
Molecule: ribosomal RNA, 439 nt
Filed under: uncultured bacterium
Lineage: Bacteria
Description: partial 16S ribosomal RNA
Rfam family: Bacterial small subunit ribosomal RNA
Source: RNAcentral